Molecule: ribosomal RNA, 248 nt
Filed under: uncultured Muribaculaceae bacterium
Lineage: Bacteria; Pseudomonadati; Bacteroidota; Bacteroidia; Bacteroidales; Muribaculaceae
Description: partial 16S ribosomal RNA
Rfam family: Bacterial small subunit ribosomal RNA
Source: RNAcentral
UACGGAGGGUGCAAGCGUUAAUCGGAAUUACUGGGCGUAAAGGGCUCGCAGGCGGUUCCUUAAGUCUGAUGUGAAAGCCCCCGGGCUCAACCUGGGAACUGCAUUCGAAACUGGCAGGCUUGAGUCUUGUAGAGGGGGGUAGAAUUCCAGGUGUAGCGGUGAAAUGCGUAGAGAUCUGGAGGAAUACCGGUGGCGAAGGCGGCCCCCUGGACAAAGACUGACGCUCAGGUGCGAAAGCGUGGGGAGCA